GCGGCACGCUUAACACAUGCAAGUUGAACGCAGAAUAGAACUUCGGUUCUAUUGCUGAGUAGCAGACGGGUGAGUAACGCGUGGGAAUCUACCUUCUUGUGAGGAAUAACUGAGGGAAACUUCAGCUAAUACCGCAUAAGCUCUACGGAGGAAAGGCUUCGGCCGCAGGAAGAGGAGCCCGCGUCAGAUUAGGUAGUUGGUGGGGUAAAGGCCUACCAAGCCAAUGAUCUGUAGCUGGUCUGAGAGGAUGAUCAGCCACACUGGGACUGAGACACGGCCCAGACGCCUACGGGAGGCAGCAGUGGGGAAUAUUGGACAAUGGGGGAAACCCUGAUCCAGCAAUGCCGCGUGAAUGAAGAAGGCCUUAGGGUUGUAAAGUUCUUUCACCUGUGAAGAUAAUGACGGUAGCAGGAGAAGAAGCCCCGGCUAACUCCGUGCCAGCCGCCGCCGUAA
RNAcentral lists this ribosomal RNA (453 nucleotides) under uncultured bacterium. RNAcentral describes it as "partial 16S ribosomal RNA". It matches the Rfam family "Bacterial small subunit ribosomal RNA", at positions 39 to 523 of the family's 1533-position model. The record is from RNAcentral.